This 380-nucleotide ribosomal RNA is filed under the name uncultured bacterium. Its description in RNAcentral is "bacterial SSU rRNA". It matches the Rfam family "Bacterial small subunit ribosomal RNA", at positions 29 to 408 of the family's 1533-position model. The record is from RNAcentral.
AUUGAACGCUGGCGGCGUGCUUAACACAUGCAAGUCGAGCGGUAACAGGCGUAGCAAUACGUGCUGACGAGCGGCGAACGGGUGCGUAAUACAUGGGAAUCUGCCUAGUAGUGGGGAAUAACCCGGCGAAAGCCGGGCUAAUGCCGCAUACGAUCCACGGAUGAAAGCGGGGGACCUUCGGGCCUCGCGCUAUUGGAUGAGCCCAUGUCGGAUUAGCUAGUUGGNGAGGUAACGACUCACCAAGGCGACGAUCCGUAGCUGGUCUGAGAGGACGGCCAGCCACACUGGGACUGAGACACGGCCCAGACUCCUACGGGAGGCAGCAGUGAGGAAUAUUGCGCAAUGGGCGAAAGCCUGACGCAGCGACGCCGCGUGGGGGA